CCAAAAUGUAUAUUCUUGCAAAAAAUAAAAAAUAAAAAAACUUACGUACGUACGUAAGUCCAGCGUAAGUCCUGCGCGAGGCGUCAUUUAGCCCAAAGAUUCGAUUGUUGUUUUUAUUCAGUUUUUCUGAACCCGAGCGGAGCGGCAGCUUUUCACCGAGGAGGACUCCAUCUUUCAGCGACUAAAACCACUUUAUUGUUCUAUAUACACUGUUUAAUUAUCUGUAUUGUCUUAUAAUUAUAAUAUAAUUUACCUGUUAUCUGUGUUGUAUUGUUACUAACUCUUUUUAUUUCUUUUUCAGGUUAAAAAGCCGGUGUGGGCUCGACCCCCCCACGGUCUGGUAUGGGCUGGCGGCGUUUUUUCGGGGUUUACACCCUAGAGGUUAGUAGAAAUUUCUCUAUUUUUUAGACCAAAUUUACCAUCAGAAAUAUUUAAUAUAACACUAGAACAAGCUAGAUCUGGAGCACCAUUAACUGUAUGUAUCUGUAUCUGUUUGUUUUGCAGGCGGAGUGCGAUGUUCCUGAAGAUUCUUCUUGUUGCACUUCGCCUUUUAAUCCUGUGAAUGUCAUGGACUCUGAUGUGGAGGACGAUGGAAGGCAGGCCUGUGAUGGAGAGGUGUUGGAGCCAGCUUCCGAACUACAGGUCAGAGUUAAAGCAACGUACAUAUAUAUAUAUUUUGCUGAUAUAACACUGAAAAUAUUCCCCCACUGUGGGACUAAUAAAGGAUUUUUUUUCUGUUCUCUCGGACAGUGCCAGGAAGCACAUACAGCAGACCUCGCCCCCACACUCCACCAAGAGCCAUCAUCCAUCCAGGGAGACACAAGAGUUCACUCUUUAAAAAUGAGAGGAUGGCUUCAGUUCUUCUGCUGCUGCUUCCCUGUGAGGAGGACGAGGAGGGUUGCAGACAGCAGCAGAGCAUGAGCAUGAGCAAAAUAGAUACAUACAGUACACACAUACAUACACACAUUAAAACACACAUAUAUAUACAUGCAUACACAUUUACACACAUAUAUAAACCUACAUAGAUGCAUACAUAUAUAUUUAUAUAGUUCAGUGUAUAUAUAUUUUAAUAUAAUUCAUUGUGAAUAUGUAUAUGAUAUAUAAAUUGACAUUUAUUUAUAUAUUAUUAUUUUCAUUGCUAUAUUAUUAUUAUUAUUAUUAUCAUUAUUAUUAUUAUUAUUAUUAACAUAUUUGUAAUAUAUUAAUGUUGUAAUAAUAAUAUUUUUUCCUCACCCUUUUUCCACUAAUCCUGGGAUGGAGAGGUGUUGGAGCCAGCUCCCGAACUACAGGUCAGAGUUAAAGCUACACACAUUUUUUUUUGCGUAUAUAACACUAAUAAUGUUCCCCCACUGUGGGACUAAUAACCUGUUUUUUUUUUCUGUUUUCUUGGACAGUGCCAGGAAGCAUGGACAACAGACCUCGCCCCCACACUCCACUAAGAGCAUUACACAUUAACACACAUAUAUAAACCUACAUAGAUGCAUGCAUAUAUAUAUAUAUAUAUAUAUUUAUAUAGUUCAGUGUAUAUAUAUAUAUAUAUAUUUAUUUAUAUAAUUCAUUGUAUAUACGUAUAUGAUAUAUAAUUGUAUUAUUAUUAUUAUUAUUAUUAUUAUUAUUAUUAAUAACAUAUUUAUAUUAUAAUAUAUUUUUCUAUUGUUUUCAUUUAUUCCUCUUUUCCUCCUUCCUUUUUUCACUAAUCCUGGGAUGGAGAGGUGUUGGAGCCAGCUCCCGAACUACAGGUCAGAAUAAAGAAACACACAUUUUGUUUUGCUGAUAUAAC
RNAcentral lists this long non-coding RNA (1780 nucleotides) under Astyanax mexicanus (Mexican tetra). RNAcentral's name for it is "lncRNA (ENSAMXG00005005777.1)". Lineage: Eukaryota; Metazoa; Chordata; Actinopteri; Characiformes; Acestrorhamphidae. The record is from RNAcentral.